GUUUUUUGUGAAGCUGAAAACAUACAAAAUAGAUAGAGGCAGAAAGAAAAACAAAAGUAAAAAACCGCAGAAGGAGUAGCUAUAGGUUUCUUCCUCUGCAUAAGCUCCAUUAACUACCAUAAACAUUCAUCAUUCCUUCAAACCACCACUCACUACCCAAAACAAUAUACAAAAUAAUAUUAGAAUCAUAUGAGAAAGAGUUUUCUUGACCAAACCCUCACGCCAGAUCUCCACCACCGAAACUUGUCACCGCCAAAGCCAUUCUCGACCACUACAAACGCAGAAACACCGCACCACCACGUCACCCCCCGUGGUCGCUUCCACGUCCUCGUCAACGCCGUCGACAAGAUCCGGUUUUUGAGAAACAAGUUGGUAAUUUCUGACAAAUAAUGGCUAACGGCGUUAAAAUUGAUGACGUGGAUGGAGUCGUUGCAUAGUGGAAUGUCUAGUCAGCACAGUCUUCUUCUUCCUUUGUUGCUGAAGCCCGUUCAUGUUUUUCCCCAAAAUCAACCCUAGACGAAAUUGGUUCCCAAAAUCCCAAAUUGAAACUUAAAUUGUUAUCUAAUCAUGAGCUCUAUGCGUGGGUCGUCAUCAUCAAAUAGAAACCGAAGUGAGUCACGGGUAUUUAACACCUCUAAUCUUCCCUGGAAGCCUCUCUGCCGUUGUGGAGACAAUGCGGUUCUUCGUAAGGCAAGAACUGUCAAGAACUAUGGAAAGCUAUUUUGGGGUUGUCAACAUUUUAAGGACACAAUAAUGCUGGUUCUGAAUUUUUUCAAUGAUUAUAUGAAGAAGCUAAAGGUGAAAUUGAGCAAACCUUGAUGAAGGAUCAAUGGAAGUUUGAAGUGCUUAGUGAAGAGAUGGAAGAAGCCAAAAAACAGGUUGAAAUUUUGAGGCUCAAUACUAUGGAAUUAGAGGAUGCUUUGAAGACCACCAUUAGGUGGAAGAAGAUUUGGAAGUUUAUGUUUUAUUUUUGUGUUAUUUGUCUUAGUAGUCAAAAUAUUGUAAAAGAUCUCAAGUUGUUGUGACAGUGGGAGACCUCAAGUUGUUGUUCUAUUUUGUUUUAAGUUUAUGUUCUAUUUUGUGACAGUGAUAAACCUCAAGUUGUUGUUCUAUUUUGUUUUAGUAAUCAAAAUGUUGUAUUCUUU
Molecule: long non-coding RNA, 1145 nt
Organism: Vicia villosa (hairy vetch)
Lineage: Eukaryota; Viridiplantae; Streptophyta; Magnoliopsida; Fabales; Fabaceae
Exons: 3
Source: RefSeq, a predicted model, not a curated record